RNAcentral lists this ribosomal RNA (247 nucleotides) under uncultured Bacillota bacterium. Its description in RNAcentral is "uncultured Firmicutes bacterium partial 16S ribosomal RNA". It matches the Rfam family "Bacterial small subunit ribosomal RNA", at positions 796 to 1041 of the family's 1533-position model. Lineage: Bacteria; Bacillati; Bacillota. The record is from RNAcentral.
CACGCCGUAAACGAUGGAUACUAGGUGUAGGGGGUAUCGACCCCCCCUGUGCCGGAGUUAACGCAAUAAGUAUCCCGCCUGGGGAGUACGGCCGCAAGGCUGAAACUCAAAGGAAUUGACGGGGGCCCGCACAAGCAGCGGAGCAUGUGGUUUAAUUCGAAGCAACGCGAAGAACCUUACCAGGGCUUGACAUCCCUCUGGCCGGUACAGAGAUGUACCUUUUCUUCGGAACAGAGGAGACAGGUGG